RNAcentral lists this ribosomal RNA (1510 nucleotides) under Helicobacter pylori. RNAcentral's name for it is "bacterial SSU rRNA". It matches the Rfam family "Bacterial small subunit ribosomal RNA". The record is from RNAcentral. Lineage: Bacteria; Pseudomonadati; Campylobacterota; Epsilonproteobacteria; Campylobacterales; Helicobacteraceae.
UUUUAUGGAGAGUUUGAUCCUGGCUCAGAGUGAACGCUGGCGGCGUGCCUAAUACAUGCAAGUCGAACGAUGAAGCUUCUAGCUUGCUAGAGUGCUGAUUAGUGGCGCACGGGUGAGUAACGCAUAGGUCAUGUGCCUCUUAGUUUGGGAUAGCCAUUGGAAACGAUGAUUAAUACCAGAUACUCCCUACGGGGGAAAGAUUUAUCGCUAAGAGAUCAGCCUAUGUCCUAUCAGCUUGUUGGUAAGGUAAUGGCUUACCAAGGCUAUGACGGGUAUCCGGCCUGAGAGGGUGAACGGACACACUGGAACUGAGACACGGUCCAGACUCCUACGGGAGGCAGCAGUAGGGAAUAUUGCUCAAUGGGGGAAACCCUGAAGCAGCAACGCCGCGUGGAGGAUGAAGGUUUUAGGAUUGUAAACUCCUUUUGUUAGAGAAGAUAAUGACGGUAUCUAACGAAUAAGCACCGGCUAACUCCGUGCCAGCAGCCGCGGUAAUACGGAGGGUGCAAGCGUUACUCGGAAUCACUGGGCGUAAAGAGCGCGUAGGCGGGAUAGUCAGUCAGGUGUGAAAUCCUAUGGCUUAACCAUAGAACUGCAUUUGAAACUACUAUUCUAGAGUGUGGGAGAGGUAGGUGGAAUUCUUGGUGUAGGGGUAAAAUCCGUAGAGAUCAAGAGGAAUACUCAUUGCGAAGGCGACCUGCUGGAACAUUACUGACGCUGAUUGCGCGAAAGCGUGGGGAGCAAACAGGAUUAGAUACCCUGGUAGUCCACGCCCUAAACGAUGGAUGCUAGUUGUUGGAGGGCUUAGUCUCUCCAGUAAUGCAGCUAACGCAUUAAGCAUCCCGCCUGGGGAGUACGGUCGCAAGAUUAAAACUCAAAGGAAUAGACGGGGACCCGCACAAGCGGUGGAGCAUGUGGUUUAAUUCGAAGAUACACGAAGAACCUUACCUAGGCUUGACAUUGAGAGAAUCCGCUAGAAAUAGUGGAGUGUCUGGCUUGCUAGACCUUGAAAACAGGUGCUGCACGGCUGUCGUCAGCUCGUGUCGUGAGAUGUUGGGUUAAGUCCCGCAACGAGCGCAACCCCCUUUCUUAGUUGCUAACAGGUCAUGCUGAGAACUCUAAGGAUACUGCCUCCGUAAGGAGGAGGAAGGUGGGGACGACGUCAAGUCAUCAUGGCCCUUACGCCUAGGGCUACACACGUGCUACAAUGGGGUGCACAAAGAGAAGCAAUACUGCGAAGUGGAGCCAAUCUUCAAAACGCCUCUCAGUUCGGAUUGUAGGCUGCAACUCGCCUGCAUGAAGCUGGAAUCGCUAGUAAUCGCAAAUCAGCCAUGUUGCGGUGAAUACGUUCCCGGGUCUUGUACUCACCGCCCGUCACACCAUGGGAGUUGUGUUUGCCUUAAGUCAGGAUGCUAAAUUGGCUACUGCCCACGGCACACACAGCGACUGGGGUGAAGUCGUAACAAGGUAACCGUAGGUGAACCUGCGGUUGGAUCACCUCCUUUCUAGA